CAACCCCUCAAGCCCCGGCUGCUUGGUGUUGGGGCGUUAUCCGCAGCGCUGUCACAGCAGCUGCGGGCCCCUAAUUUCAGUGGCGGACCCGCCGAGGCCCCGAGUGCAGUAGUGUAUCUCCUCGCUCCAGGGCGCCGCGGCGGGCUCUCCUGCCGUAAAACCCCACUGUAUUUUAA
This 176-nucleotide unclassified non-coding RNA is filed under the name uncultured Sordariales. RNAcentral's name for it is "sequence contains ITS2". The record is from RNAcentral. Lineage: Eukaryota; Fungi; Ascomycota; Sordariomycetes; Sordariales.